GGCUUGCGUGAGGGAUAGUAACGAAAAUCCUUUUUUAGCUUGGCGCGAUAGCGACAGGAUAAAAAAGAUUGUAGGGUAUAGCCCGACCCGCU
This 92-nucleotide small RNA is filed under the name Flavobacterium crassostreae. RNAcentral describes it as "Flavo-1 RNA". It matches the Rfam family "Flavo-1 RNA". The record is from Rfam by way of RNAcentral. Lineage: Bacteria; Pseudomonadati; Bacteroidota; Flavobacteriia; Flavobacteriales; Flavobacteriaceae.